CAUUUCUUGGGCCGCUCCCGCGGAGGUUCCCAGGCUAGGGGUCGAAUCAGAGCCGCAGCCACUGGCCCACGCCAGAGCCACAGCAACUCGGGAUCCGAGCCGCGUCUGCGACCUACACCACAGCUCACGGCAAUGCUGGAUCCUUAACCCACUGAGCAAGGGCAGGGAUGGAACCCGCAACCUCAUGGUUCCCAGUUGGAUUCGUUAACCACUGGGCCAUGAUGGGAACUCCAAAGUUUACUAAUUCUUUAUAUGAAACUUAUUCCUGGUUUCUGUUUCCCGGUUGGGCCCUGACUAAUAUAUGGGCUUUGUCAUCUCUUAAGAUUUUUGUCUCCUCCAUGGUCAAAACUGGGCUAUUGUGUCCAGGUUCCAGCUGGUGAAAGGAGAAAGAGAGCAUGAGAAAGAUAGGAGGCAUCACUACUUUCUGUCAGGGAAGAGGUGCACAUGGCUUCUGCUGACAUUAGACUGGUGAGAGUUAGUCCCAGGUCACACCUAAUUGAAGGGGAGCGGGGAGAUAUAGUCCAACCAUAAUGUCAAAGAAGAAAGAAGAAUGGGUUUUCAAAAUUAACAUCUAGUUGAUUUAUAGUGUUGUGCCAGUUUUCACCAUGGCAAACUGUCAUAUACGUAUGUAUAUUUAUUUAUAUGCACACACAUUCCCUUUCUUAUAUUCUCUUCCAUCAUGGUCUAUCCAAGGAGACUGGAUAUAGUUCCUUAUGCUAUACAGAGGACCUCAUUGUUUAUCCAUUAUAAAUGUAAUACUUUGCAUCUACUAACCCCAAACUCCCAGUCCAUCCCACUCCCUCCCCAGUCCCCACUGGUCUGUUCUCUAUGUUUGUAAGACUGUUUCUGUUUUGUAGCUAGAUUCAUUUGUGCCCUAUUUUUGAUUCCACAUGUAAGUGAUAUCAUAUGGUAUUUGUCUUUCUCUUUCUGACUUACCUUACUUAAUAUGAGAAUCUCUAGUUUCAUCCAUGUCACUGCAAAUGACAUUAUUUUAUCCUUUUUUAUGGCUGAGUAGUAUUUCAUUCCAUGCAUAUACCACAUCUCCUUAUCCAUUCAUCUGUUGAUGGACAUUUAGAUUGUUUCCAUGUCGUGGCUAUUGUGACUAGUGCUGCUAUAGCAGAAUGGAUUUUGGUGAGUGACUGGUAGUAUUCACCAUAAUUAUAUAAAAAUUUAAACCAACUAUAUGGCAAAAGAUAUUAUAAGCAAAAGUAAAAGAGAACCAUAGACUGAGAUGUAAAUUCAUAACAUACAUAGAGAUUUGUAGAAGAGUUUUGAGGAACAAUAGCCUUUUGCCAUAUGAAGAGUUAAUAUCCCUCAAAGAUCUUCCACAAAAUGUUUCAAAUAGAACUCCUUAGGAAACUAAAAAGGCUAAACAAACCAAUAAACACCCAAAAAAGGAUACAAACUAUGGAGAAGAUAUUCAACCUCAGGAAUAAUUAGGGAAUUACAAAUUAAAGCAGCCAUGAGCUACUACUUUCCAUCUAUCAGAUCAGAGAAAUUAAAGAGUAGCAAUAGCCAUAGGGAGAAUAUUCACUCAUUUCUUCCCAGUAAAACUAGAAAUUUCUAUAAUGCUUAAGAAAAGUAGGGUAUACAUCUAAAAAUGAAAUACAGGGACUCCUUUAUUGAGGAGUCCUUUGUUUUGGAAAUCUAUCCCGUUAAAAUAAAAACUCCAGUACCUUAGAAGUUUUUUCUUUUUCUUUUUAGUGCCACACCUGUGGCAUAUGGAAGUUCCUGGGUUAGGGAUCAAAUUAGAGCUGCAGCUGCUGGCUGACACCACAGCCGUGGCAACAUGGGAUCUGAGCUGCAUCUAUGGCCUAUGCUGCAGCCUGGCAAGGCCAGAUCCUUAACCCACUGAGAGAGGCCAGGGAUCCCACCCACAUCCUUACGGACAAUACAUUGUGUUCUUAACCCACUGAACCACAAUAGGAAUUCCAAUAAGUAGUUUAUUGAUGUAUUAUUUGUAGAAGCAAAAAUUUUAAAAUAACCUGAAUGGUCUUAAACAGGGAAAUGAUUAAGUAAAUUAUAUUACAUCCAUACUACAUCUUCUUAAUCUGUUCAUAUGUUGAUGGACAUUUAGGUUGUUUCCAUGUCUUGGCUAUUGUGAAUAGUGCUGCAAUGAACAUACAGUGCAUGUAUCUUUUUCAAUGAAAGUUUUAUCUGUAUAUAUGUCCAAGAGUGGGAUUGCUGGAUCAUAUGAUAGUACUGUAUUUAGUUUUCUGAGCUACCUCUAUACGUUUUCCAUGGUGGUUGUACCAAUUUACAUUCCCACCUAGAGUAUAGGAGGGUACCCUUUUCUCCACACCUUGUCCAGCAUUUGUUAUUUGUUGACUUGUUAGUGAUGGCUAUCCUGACAGGUGUGAGGUGAUACCUUAUAGUAAUUUUGGUUUGUAUUUCUCUAAUAAUCAGUGAUGUUGAGCAUUUUUUCAUGUGCUUGUUGGCCAUCUGCUAGAGGGUUAGGAAAGAUGAUUAAAAAAUAAUUAAAAAAUAUUCAUUUCACUGCUGAUGUGAAUCUUCAUUCCUUCCAUUAUUUUUUCAAAAAGAAAAAAGAAAAUGAAACUUGCCCCUUGACAGGUGAAAAUUUCCACAUACCGUAUUGGCAAACUAUCGAGGUCUAGAGAGAAAGAGCCCAUCUGAGUUUCACAAUUUAGUUGUAAAACUUUGAAGUGUUUCAGGAAUGGUUAGUGUCCUAGAUAUUCAGUUCACUAAGCCCCUGGUACUUGGGAAGGUAGAUCAAUACCUGUCUGUCUGCCUUGUUGAUUCUGUUGUAGAUAGGUUAUUUUGCUGAUAAGGAGAAAAAAUAAGCAAUUCCUAAGAUUAGUGGUGAGCUAAUUGCACAUCCAGGAUUGAAACUCUCUGUCAUUAGUUGCCCGAGUUACCCUUUGCUUUCAAGUUCUUCAAGAACUUUUCAAGUUCUUCUCUUAAUCAUGGUGUAUGUUCCUACAGGUGAAACUGAGAUCAUUGAAGGAAACCUGAGUCACGAAAAGCACAUUUGACAUUCUUUUUCUUCCCGUUGUUGUCGUUGAAGAUUUUGCCAUUUGCUAGAGUAAGGAGAAGGAUUAUUUUGUCAAACUUUCAGCCAUAAGUUGGAUACAUAAUCAUAAAGCUUUAGGUCUUACGUAGGUGUUAGGUGUUAGGCAGAGAGAACCUCUAUAUCUGAGUGUCAGAGAAGGAGAGUUCCAUUGUCCUUUGUUACUUUGAUGAAAAAUUGAUGUAUAGGGAGUUCCUGCUAUGGCUCAGAGGUAAGAAACCUGACUGGUAUCCAUGAACAUGUGGGUUCGAUCCCUGGCCUCGUUCAGUGGUUUUGGGUUAAGGAUUCGGCAUUGCUGUGAGCCACGGUGUAGGUUGCAGAUGUUGCUCAAAUCUGGCAUUGCUGUGGCUGCAGUAUAGGCCGUCAGCUGCAGCUCCAACUCUAUCCCUAGCUUGGGAAUUUCCAUACGCUGUGGGUGCAGCCCUAAAAAGACAAAAAAAAAAUGAUAUAUAGUGACAGCUAAAUGUAGGACAAUGUUUAAGUCAACAAGGGCUAGAAGCUGACUUCAAAUGGGAUGUGCGGCUUCUGGGGGUGCUGACAAUAUUCUAUUUCUGGACUCAUUACUAAAAUAUAAAUUUACAUAUGUGAUCAUAUAACAGAAAGAAAGGAAGAGGAAGGAAGGGAUUGAGGAGUAAGGAAAGAAGGAAGGAAAUGGUUGGCUUUUCACAGGCAAGUGUGAUCAUAGAGAGAGGUAAUGAAGUUAACAGUGUUUGACAGACAGCAGUUUUAAGUAUUGACAUGUGAGGUAACAGCACAAGGAAAAAUGAGAAAAUAUAUUUUUAACCUAAAAUAUAUGGUGAUAUUUGUUUUUACUAGCCAGGGGUCCUUAGCAGAGUGUGUUAAUACUUAAUUGUGGAGUGCAGUCCUACAAUCAGGAGUGAGAGGAGAGAGGUAGUAGCAGGAAAAGAAGAAUAGAAAAAUACAAAGGAGCAUGUUACCUCGCUGGCCAGAGCUUUGUGCAGUGUGUUGAUGACUGCUUAGUUUUAUGGAAAGACUGCCCAGAGGCUGUAAAUGUGCCUCAAAUCACUCUUAGGUAACAAAGAAAGAGUGAAAAAAUAUGUAUCAAUUCUCAUGUUUCAUUAGUCAAAGUUUGUUCCAUGGAUGUUAUCUAUCUAACACUUCCACCCUGUGUCUCCUAGCCCUUCAGCACUGGCUUGGGAAUCUGAAUUCAAAAUAGGAGGGAUAGCAAACUCUGCAUGAGCAAUAACCCUACAGGAUGAGGCAUUUAAGUCAAUGCUAGUCAGGGCCUUCCCUGUCUGCCUAGAACCUGUAGACUUCUGGGACUGGACAGUCUGUGUGUGUGUGUGUAUGUGUGUGUGUGUGUGUGUGUGCGCGCGCGCAUGCAUGUUCAUGCAUAUACACGUGCACACCUGCUGAGGGGAUCCUCCAGUGUCUCAUGCUUCAGGGGCAACAGGGAAACUGAUGACGGAAGGCAAGAUGUCAAAUACUCAUAGAUCACACCUGCAAGCAAUAAGUAGCUCACCCAGGUAGCUGAGCUAGGGGAGUGACACAAGGACAGGGCCCAUCAACAAAUAUAGCAACGAAUCUGUUGAAGGGCAAAUUGUCCCAUUAGUGGUUUUCAACAGUGCAGUCAGUACAAGAUGAUCUUAAUUGUGUCACUGGUAUCAUUGAGCAGAGAAACUUGGCUGAGCAAAUCCAGGGUGGCAUAUAAAGUGAAUUUUCAGUUCAUUAUCUGUGGUAAAUAUUUAAUAGUUUUUUGGCUAGUUAUCCAAUGCUUUUUUUGAGUAAUUUAUUCUAAUAUAUAUAUGUAACUUAUUUAAAUGUUAUAUUAUUUAAGAGAUAUAUUCUGAAAAUGUAAAUUUCAUAAUAAUUUAAUCGUGACAACAUGUAUAACUAGAUGUCCUGGUGCCCUUAAAAAUAUUAAUUUUGACCUAGAAAUUUGCAUAUCCUUUUUAAGAAAGUCAUUGUAUUUAUAA
Molecule: long non-coding RNA, 4965 nt
Filed under: Sus scrofa (pig)
Lineage: Eukaryota; Metazoa; Chordata; Mammalia; Artiodactyla; Suidae
Description: lncRNA (ENSSSCG00000059109.1)
Source: RNAcentral